GACGAACGCUGGCGGCGUGCUUAACACAUGCAAGUCGAACGGAAAGGCCCUGCUUUUGUGGGGUGCUCGAGUGGCGAACGGGUGAGUAACACGUGAGUAACCUGCCCUUGACUUUGGGAUAACUUCAGGAAACUGGGGCUAAUACCGGAUAGGAGCUCCUGCUGCAUGGUGGGGGUUGGAAAGUUUCGGCGGUUGGGGAUGGACUCGCGGCUUAUCAGCUUGUUGGUGGGGUAGUGGCUUACCAAGGCUUUGACGGGUAGCCGGCCUGAGAGGGUGACCGGCCACAUUGGGACUGAGAUACGGCCCAGACUCCUACGGGAGGCAGCAGUGGGGAAUAUUGCACAAUGGGCGGAAGCCUGAUGCAGCAACGCCGCGUGCGGGAUGACGGCCUUCGGGUUGUAAACCGCUUUCGCCUGUGACGAAGCGUGAGUGACGGUAAUGGGUAAAGAAGCACCGGCUAACUACGUGCCAGCAGCCGCGGUGAUACGUAGGGUGCGAGCGUUGUCCGGAUUUAUUGGGCGUAAAGGGCUCGUAGGUGGUUGAUCGCGUCGGAAGUGUAAUCUUGGGGCUUAACCCUGAGCGUGCUUUCGAUACGGGUUGACUUGAGGAAGGUAGGGGAGAAUGGAAUUCCUGGUGGAGCGGUGGAAUGCGCAGAUAUCAGGAGGAACACCAGUGGCGAAGGCGGUUCUCUGGGCCUUUCCUGACGCUGAGGAGCGAAAGCGUGGGGAGCGAACAGGCUUAGAUACCCUGGUAGUCCACGCUGUAAACGGUGGGUACUAGGUGUGGGGUCCAUUCCACGGGUUCCGUGCCGUAGCUAACGCUUUAAGUACCCCGCCUGGGGAGUACGGCCGCAAGGCUAAAACUCAAAGGAAUUGACGGGGCCCCGCACAAGCGGCGGAGCAUGCGGAUUAAUUCGAUGCAACGCGUAGAACCUUACCUGGGUUUGACAUGGAUCGGGAGCGCUCAGAGAUGGGUGUGCCUCUUUUGGGGUCGGUUCACAGGUGGUGCAUGGCUGUCGUCAGCUCGUGUCGUGAGAUGUUGGGUUAAGUCCCGCAACGAGCGCAACCCUUGUUCACUGUUGCCAGCAUGUUAUGGUGGGGACUCAGUGGAGACCGCCGGGGUCAACUCGGAGGAAGGUGGGGAUGACGUCAAGUCAUCAUGCCCCUUAUGUCCAGGGCUUCACGCAUGCUACAAUGGCUGGUACAGAGAGUGGCGAGCCUGUGAGGGUGAGCGAAUCUCGGAAAGCCGGUCUCAGUUCGGAUUGGGGUCUGCAACUCGACCUCAUGAAGUCGGAGUCGCUAGUAAUCGCAGAUCAGCAACGCUGCGGUGAAUACGUUCCCGGG
Molecule: ribosomal RNA, 1343 nt
Filed under: uncultured bacterium
Lineage: Bacteria
Description: 16S ribosomal RNA
Rfam family: Bacterial small subunit ribosomal RNA
Source: RNAcentral